GAAUAUUGGACAAUGGGCGAGAGCCUGAUCCAGCCAUGCCGCGUGCAGGAAGACUGCCCUAUGGGUUGUAAACUGCUUUUAAAUGGGAAGAAACCCACCUACGUGUAGGUGUCUGACGGUACCGUAAGAAUAAGGAUCGGCUAACUUCGUGCCAGCAGCCGCGGUAAUACGGAGGAUCCAAGCGUUAUCCGGAAUCAUUGGGUUUAAAGGGUCCGUAGGUGGAUAAUUAAGUCAGGGGUGAAAGUCUGCAGCUCAACUGUAGAAUUGCCUUUGAUACUGGUUAUCUUGAAUUAUUAUGAAGUAGUUAGAAUAUGUAGUGUAGCGGUGAAAUGCAUAGAUAUUACAUAGAAUACCAAUUGCGAAGGCAGAUUACUAAUAAUGAAUUGACACUGAUGGACGAAAGCGUGGGGAGCGAACAGG
RNAcentral lists this ribosomal RNA (420 nucleotides) under uncultured bacterium. RNAcentral's name for it is "bacterial SSU rRNA". It matches the Rfam family "Bacterial small subunit ribosomal RNA", at positions 359 to 776 of the family's 1533-position model. The record is from RNAcentral.